RNAcentral lists this long non-coding RNA (1104 nucleotides) under Carica papaya (papaya). RNAcentral describes it as "long non-coding RNA (CPAP_LNC014038)". The record is from RNAcentral. Lineage: Eukaryota; Viridiplantae; Streptophyta; Magnoliopsida; Brassicales; Caricaceae.
CUGACUUGACCAGGAAGCCAGUCCUGUAUUAGUAAAAGAAACCUAUCGCGCUGGGUCACCAUUCCUUUCAGAGUAGCCUACAACCCAUGAUAUGGUAUAUGGUCGGUCUCCAGCUAAGGCGCAUUCUCCACAUUCAAGGUAAUCCCUAAUUUAACAUGACCAUGACUUUUUUUUGGACUGACUUUGGAAGCAGACCUUUUCUCGGCUAGCUAUUUUCGGUAUUUGAAAAACAUGGCUAAAGGACAUUGAGAUUUUGAAAACUAUCCUUUCAAUGUUGGUAGGUCGGUACUCAACUAAAGGAUUUGGGGCUGACGAAGACAAAGACGUAUUGAAAUUCGGGAUUUUUGAUUACCACAGCACAGCGGACGUUGAAUUGACUAAAGACUAAGGCCUAUAUUUCUCUUCAAAAAGAAGAAGGGGACAGAACCACGCCUUAUGACGAAAGGGGAGAGUGAAACCUAGAACGAUACCACUCCGAGAAUGAGACAUCCUGGACAGACGGCUGGCAAGAGUGAGACCUCUGAGAGAUUUCCCUACUGGACUCCAAUCCAAUACUCUAUUUUGAAGAGACCACUAAAAGAAAAGAGAAGAAUGCGACCAUCGAGUUUCUUCAACGAGCCCCACCCUGGGUCUUUCUUAGUGUAGUUGGUUCUCCCGUGGUAAGCUCUCUGACUACUGGCUUGGCUAGGCUGGUCUCCUAUUAAACAUGGUAAGCCCGACCCGUCACUCACUGAAACCCGGGAAUCCUCCCUUUUUUUUUAGGAGUCAGAAGUCCUCUCUCGCCAGUCUCGGUCAAUUGAAUCUGACUGAGCUUGACAGGUUCCGACUUGCCUUUCCUAUUCUUUUUUCUUAUUAUUGAACUGGUGUCUGAAAGACAACAAAAAGGUAGGGUAGGAAGAAUCUCCUAAGAAAGGUCUCUUCUUCUUCUUUAAUGGAUGGGAACACAUCGAAUGAAAAGGAUGUCGAAUGAGUUGAAAGAUGGCAAAAACCCAACUUCCUUGUGAGAAAUUCAAUCUGAACUUGAUUGGCUCCAUCACCGGAACCAGCUGCAGCCUCUCUAAUCCAAUUCCGUUCCACAGGAAUGCCAAAACAAUGAUGAUGGCC